CCUACGGGUGGCAGCAGUGAGGAAUAUUGGUCAAUGGCCGGAAGGCUGAACCAGCCAUGCCGCGUGAAGGUCAGUGCCCUAUGGGCGUUAAACUUCUUUUGUGCGGGAGCAAUAAUGGUCACGUGUGGCCAGACGAGAGUACCGUACGCAUAAGCAUCGGCUAACUCCGUGCCAGCAGCCGCGGCAAUACGGGGGAUGCAAGCGUUAUCCGGAUUUAUUGGGGUUAAAGGGUGCGUAGGCUGUGAGGUAAGUCAGCGGUGAAAUGCCCCCGCUCAACGGGGUGAAGUGCCAUUGAUACUGGCUUGCUGGAAUGCGGAAGACGUGGGAGGAAUGUGUGGUGUAGCGGUGAAAUGCAUAGAUAUCACACAGAACACCGAUUGCGAAGGCAUCUCACGAAUCCGCGAUUGACGCUGAUGCACGAAAGCGUGGGUAUCAAACAGGAUUAGAUACCCUUGUAGUC
This 460-nucleotide ribosomal RNA is filed under the name uncultured bacterium. Its description in RNAcentral is "partial 16S ribosomal RNA". It matches the Rfam family "Bacterial small subunit ribosomal RNA", at positions 338 to 795 of the family's 1533-position model. The record is from RNAcentral.